CUGUGACAAAGUUUUCACUUGUCUGACCUGAAAUAAGAAUGUAGGUAGCUUUUCCUAAGGU
Molecule: small nucleolar RNA, 61 nt
Filed under: Procavia capensis (Cape rock hyrax)
Lineage: Eukaryota; Metazoa; Chordata; Mammalia; Hyracoidea; Procaviidae
Source: RNAcentral